AAAGAUUGGACACCCCUGCUCUACAGUAGAACACACAGACGUGGUCCAGUUGGGUUGUGCUCUAACCUGUAUUUCUCUCUCUCUCUCACAUGGUCCUGCUCUGUCCACCCUGCAGAGUCAAGUGAAAUCAAGGGUGAAGAACAACAGGGAGAGAAGAGGGAGAGGAGGGAUGCCCGAACUCUCGCCGCAGUAUCGGGGACUGAGGGAUGGGAAAUUUAUCUAUGCAUUCAUGAAGUAAUAUUAGAUUGUUUUUUAAACUCAUUGAUUUUUAAACUCAGGGGAGCUGUAACUGAAAUAGAUGUACGUUUUUUAUGCAAAGUUUGCUAAAUUCAGAUCUUUUGUUCCCUGUCUGUAAGCCCAAUUUACAGCUUGAGCAGGUUGUUGGUUAAGUUGAAGGGUCAGUUGCUACACCAAUUUAAAACUGGCUGUAGGUUUCUGCCAUAUAAGGGACACA
RNAcentral lists this long non-coding RNA (454 nucleotides) under Lepisosteus oculatus (spotted gar). RNAcentral describes it as "lncRNA (ENSLOCG00000022453.1)". Lineage: Eukaryota; Metazoa; Chordata; Actinopteri; Semionotiformes; Lepisosteidae. The record is from RNAcentral.